RNAcentral lists this ribosomal RNA (254 nucleotides) under uncultured microorganism. RNAcentral's name for it is "partial 16S ribosomal RNA". It matches the Rfam family "Archaeal small subunit ribosomal RNA", at positions 474 to 727 of the family's 1478-position model. The record is from RNAcentral.
CACCGGCGGCUCGAGUGGUGGCCACUUUUAUUGGGUCUAAAACGUCCGUAGCCGGCUUGGCAAGUCCCCUGGGAAAUCUGGCGGCUUAACCGUCAGGCGUCCAGAGGAUACUGCCAGGCUUGGGACCGGGAGAGGUGAGAGGUACCUCAGGGGUAGGGGUGAAAUCCUGUAAUCCCGGGAGGACCACCGGUGGCGAAGGCGCUCGGCUGGAACGGGUCCGACGGUGAGGGACGAAGGCCAGGGGAGCGAACCGG